Molecule: long non-coding RNA, 521 nt
Filed under: Mus pahari (shrew mouse)
Lineage: Eukaryota; Metazoa; Chordata; Mammalia; Rodentia; Muridae
Description: lncRNA (MGP_PahariEiJ_G0002895.1)
Source: RNAcentral
CCCAGAGAGAUUCUUCACCUCUGCGACAUAGAAUGCAGGAGAGAUUAAAAACCUGCAAAACUAGUAGUCCCUGUAGCACACCCCUUUAAAAUGGUGCCGUUGUGGGAAUGGAGGGUGGGUUAUAAGGAAGCAGGCUUUUUAUUAUAUGAAAAUAUUUGUGUUUGAGAAGGGGGGCCACCAGUGGCCCAACACAAUUCCUGCAAUGAGAAACGAGUUUUCAGGACCUUUGUAGAGCCACCUCCAGUGACUUAUCAUUAAUGUCCUGCCCUGUGAACUUUAUUGAUUUGUUGCACUCGCCAAUCAAAAAUCCAAGCAACAUCUUUGAGAAAAACUAAUAAUCGGAGUCUUCAGGGCAAUGUGCAGCUGUGGUCUGUGUCCAUCAUCACCUGUCUGCUGUGUGGCCAAAGUGACAAGGAGAUGUGCUCUAAGUUGGUUGGUACCCAGGUCGAGACCAUGAGCAUCAAUGUGGAUGCCCAGUGCUAGGGUAUUAACGUUCUUCCUAAGCACAUCGCUAAGACAAG